Molecule: transfer RNA, 76 nt
Filed under: Oscillospiraceae bacterium MB24-C1
Lineage: Bacteria; Bacillati; Bacillota; Clostridia; Eubacteriales; Oscillospiraceae
Also listed under: 1 other name
Description: tRNA-Gln
Rfam family: tRNA
About the family: Transfer RNA (tRNA) molecules are approximately 80 nucleotides in length. Their secondary structure includes four short double-helical elements and three loops (D, anti-codon, and T loops).
Source: RNAcentral
UGGGCUGUAGCCAAGCGGUAAGGCACCAGACUUUGACUCUGGCAUCCCGCUGGUUCGAAUCCAGCCAGCCCAACCA